Long non-coding RNA from Bubalus bubalis (water buffalo), 291 nucleotides. RefSeq lists it as uncharacterized. The record is from RefSeq and is a predicted model, not a curated record. NCBI's taxonomy places the organism in Eukaryota, Metazoa, Chordata, Mammalia, Artiodactyla, Bovidae. The transcript is spliced from 2 exons.
CAUGACAUCCAUUGUUGGGAGAGGUCUCCAGAAGUCCUGGCAGAAGAAAGAGCUGAGGUUGGCCAUGAUAGUCCUCAGUCUCUUGUGAAGUCUGGAUCGGUGGUCUCUAGACUGUGCUUUAGGAAAUUAGGACACAGACACGCACAGAGAGGACCAUGUGAAGCUGCAGGGAGAAGAUGCCAUCCACAAGCCAAGGAGAAGGGCCUCAGAAGAAAUCAACCUUGUUGGCACCUUGACUCAGACUUCUAGCACCUAAAACUGUGAGAGAAUAAAUUUCUGCUGUUUAUUCCA